UUGCUUUGGCAGCACGUGUAUUAAAAGUGGAAUAAUACAGAGAUGAUUAGCAUGGCCCCUUAUGCAAGGAUGACAUGCAAAUUUGUGGAGUGUUCCAUAUUUAA
This 104-nucleotide small nuclear RNA is filed under the name Salvator merianae (Argentine black and white tegu). Lineage: Eukaryota; Metazoa; Chordata; Lepidosauria; Squamata; Teiidae. The record is from RNAcentral.